Hippopotamus amphibius kiboko is the source of this 4548-nucleotide RNA transcript. It is a transcript of the gene named class I histocompatibility antigen, Gogo-C*0203 alpha chain-like, with no coding region annotated. The transcript has 8 exons. Lineage: Eukaryota; Metazoa; Chordata; Mammalia; Artiodactyla; Hippopotamidae. The record is from RefSeq and is a predicted model, not a curated record.
UCAGAUUCUCCCCAGGCCACAAGGAUGCGGGUCAUCGGGCCCCAAACCCUCCUCCUGCUGCUCUCGGCGGCCCUGGCCCUGACCGAGACCUGGGCGGGCUCCCACUCCCUGAGGUAUUUCUACACCGGGGUGUCCCGGCCCGGCCGCGGGGAGCCCCGCUUCAUCGCCGUCGGCUACGUGGACGACACGCAGUUCGUGCGGUUCGACAGCGACGCCCCGAAUCCGAGGAUGGAGCCGCGGGCGCCGUGGGUGCAGCAGGAGGGGCCGGAGUAUUGGGAUCGAAACACGCAGGGCGUCAAGGACACCGCACAGACUUUCGGAGUGAACCUGAACACCCUGCGCGGCUACUACAACCAGAGCGAGGCCGAAUCUCACACUCUGCAGUGGAUGUACGGCUGCGACGUGGGGCCGGACCGACGGCUCCUCCGCGGGUACGAACAAUUCGCCUACGAUGGCGCGGAUUUCAUCGCCCUGAAUGAGGACCUGCGCUCCUGGACCGCGGCGGACACGGCGGCUCAGAUCACCAAGCGCAAAUGGGAGGACUCCGGUGAGGCAGAGCGCGACAGGAACUACCUGAAGGGCACGUGCAUGGAGUGGCUCAGCAGACACCCGGAGACCGGGAAGGACACGCUGCAGCGCGCAGACCCUCCAAAGACACAUGUGACCCGCUACCCCAUCUCUGACCUUGAGGUCACCCUGAGGUGCUGGACCCUGGACUUCUACCCUGCAGAGAUCACACUGACCUGGCAACAUGACGGGGAGGACCUGACCCAGGACACAGAGCUUGUGGAGACCAGGCCUGCAGGGGAUGGAUCCUUCCAGAAGUGGGCAGCUGUGGUGGUGCCUUCUGGAGAGGAGCAGAGAUACACAUGCCAUGUGCAGCACGAGGGGCGGCCUGAGCCCAUCACCCUGAGAUGGGGUAGGAAGGGGGUUGGAGUGUGGAGCUUAUAAUCAGAUAAAGCAGAAGCCCUUCAGGAGAACUUCAGCAAGCCAGCACUGAAGCCUGAGGAAGGCCCUCACCUUCCCUCUCCUCCGCAUCAUUGCUGGCCUGGUUCUCUGUGUGGCCACUGGAGCUGUGGUGGCUGGAGCUGUGAUCGGGAGAAAGAAGCGCUCUGUCAUAGCUCUGGAAACGUCCCUGGAGUCCAGGACUACGGGGCUCCUCUAGGAUCUCAUGGCCCUGCCUCCUCCCUGGCCUCCCAUGUGACGUUUUCUUCCCACAGGCAGAGAAGGAGGGAGCUACGCUCAGGCUGCUGGCAGCAACAGUGCCCAGAGCUGUGAUGUUACCUUUCACCAGCCCUAAAGGGCUGUUUCCUGGAUUAUCCUUUCCAUCUUUUCCGAAGAACCAAAUUCUGGAAAGGAACAAGGACUAAACCCUGGAAGUCCCGGUGCUGCAUGAUCUGAUCAGACCACACACCUGAGCAGACUGCAGAGUUUUGGCACUACGUGUGGACAGCACAGAGACCAGGGAGUCCUAAACUUUAUUCGCAUAAGAAUCAUCGGGACAUCUUGAUAAGAUUCAGAAGGUCUGCAGUAGAUUGUGUAUUAUAACAAGGUUGGUGCUGAUGCUGCUGGCUUUCAGACCACACACGUAGCAGCAAGAAUGCACGUGGACCAGGAUUCCCACGUGGCUGUGCACCAGCCUCACCUGUAGGGCUUGUCGAAUAAGCAAUUCUUGGGCUCUGUGCCCAGCAUUCUGAGGUGGUGGGUCUGGGAGGAGGCCUGAGUAUUUUGCAGCAAUCCCUACAAGCAGUCCUGCGGUUCAGCCAGAUUGGGAACCGCUGAGGUCAGUGAUCAGAGAGCGCUCAGGUUGGGGAGGAGCCUUAAAUCCACACUUAAACCUUGUUUUUUCCUGGGAAGAAAAGGGCGAGAUGUACGCUGGAGGCACAUGUUGGUUUCUCUACCCUGGGGUAUUUGGCCGGGUGGAAGACAGGAAGUGUUCUUAGCUCGAGAUAAUGAAAACCUGUGAAUCUUUGCUCUCCAAAACUAUUCCCUAGAUAGAUUUCUCACUCAUUCCUUGGUGUAAACAAUGGAAUACAAAUUUUUCUAAUUGUAACACAAAUGAAAAUUGUGUGUGUAUGUGUGUCUUGUGUACCCUGGGGACUCAUCUCAUUUCAGGGAAAGCCACAGAACAAGCUUGAGGCUACACAGCCAGGAACAGAAUCCACAAUCCACCCAAGGUCAAGUCCCACAUAGGGGGAUUCUGUAAUGGCAUGAGACAUUUGGGGCCUUGGAUGGGAUGGAGUUUAUUUUGCAUGUGGGAGAAAUGCAAAUAAUUAGUGUCCAAACGGUAGAGACUGUGGUGGUUUUCAAAUGUCCCUGUACUGUAUGAUACUCGAGAGGCAGAAACAAUAUCUUCCAUAGUGGCUGUGCUAUUCUGCAUUCCUGUCAGCAAGGAGUGAGUGUUCCUGCCCUUCUGAAUGUUUGUGUGCCCUCAAAAUUCUUAUGUUGAAAUCCUAAUGCCCAGUGUGGUGGUAGUAGGUGGGGUCUUUGGGAAGUGCUUAAGUCAUGAGAGUGGAGCCGUGAUGAAUGGGAUGAGUGCCUACAACCCUGUUCCCAGUCCCCAAGGUGUGGGUUUUUUCCACACCACCUAGCACUUCUCUGAUACCAGCAGGGGUUCUUACAAUUCAAUUCAAUUCUGACACUAUCUACACUAUCUACCUGGAGAUCACAUCAGAUCACACGGGUUAAAGAUUCAGUCUCACAAGAAGAGCCACCCCUCCCAAUUUUAGAUGCCAAUCGCAAAUACAGGUUGUCACCUGUGAUUCUGACUGAUGGGCUGUGAAUCAGUCGUUCCCAGGACCCCUCCUGAUUUGCUAGAGGCUCACAGAACUCAUUUUACUUAAUGUUUGUCAGUUUAUUAUAAAAGGAUAUGAUAAGGGAUACAGAUGCACAGUGGUUAAGAAUCUGCCUACCAAUGCAGGGGACAUGGGUUCGAGCCCUGGUCUAGGAAGAUCCCACAUGCUGUGGAGCAGCUAAGCCUGUGAGCCACAACUGCUGAAGCCCCCGCACCUAGAGCCCGUGCUCUGCAGCAAGAGAAGCCACCACAAUGAGAAGCCCACGCACUGCAAUGAAGAGUAGCCCCUGCUCACCACAACUAGAGGAAGCCCGCUUGCGUCAACAAAAACCCAAUGCAGCCAAUAAAAUUUAAAAAAAAAAAGGAUACAGAUGAGCUUCCAGAUGGAAGAGAUGCAGGGGGGCAAAGUAUGUGGGGAUGGGCACCAAGCUUCCAUGUCCUCUCUGAAUGCACCCCUUUCCCAGCACCUCCACAUGUUCACCAACCUGAAGACCCUCCAAACCCCAUCCUUUUGGGUUUUUAUGGAGGCUUUAUUACAUAGGCAUAAUUGAUUAAGUCAUUGGCCAUUGGCAACUGAUUCCACCUCCAGCCCCUUUCCCCUGCACAGAGGUCACGGGGGUGAGACUGAAAAUGACAACCCUCUAAUCAUGGUAGUUUCCUCUGGUGACCAGCCCUCAUCCUUAGGUUAGCUAGGGACUUUCCAAAAGUCACUUCAUUAACACAACAAGACACCUUAUUGCUCUCAUCACUUAGGAAAUUCCAAAGGUUUUUGUAGCUCUAUGCCAGGAAAGGGGAAAAAGACCAAAUAUACACUUCUUAUUAUAAAUCACAAUAUCACAGUGCCUCACGUAGAGAUCCCUAGCCCUUUAUAUUGUGUGAGGACAUAGCCAGAAGGUGGCAGCUAUGAACCAGGAAGAGGGUCCUUACCCAACCUUGCUGGUGCAGUGAUCUUGGCCAUCCUGGCCUCCAGAACUAUGAGCAAUAACUUUCUGUUAUUUAUAAACUAUGGCUGAUGCUAUUUUGUUACAGCAGCCCUAACAGAACUGUAGUUCCUGUUGCUCCACAUCCUCACCAGUACUUGGUAAUAUCAGUUUUUAUUUUAACUAAUCUAAUAGAUGUGUAGUGGCAUACUAUUUUUUUAUUUGCAUUUCCCUAAUGACAUAUGAUAUUGAGCACCUUCUCAUAUGCUUUUUCAUAUACCACCUGUAUUGUCUUCAGUUAUGUGUUAUCUGUUUUCUUAUUGUUGAGUUUUAAGGGUUCUUUGUAUAUUUUAGAUACGUCUUUUAUCAGAUACGUGAUUUGCAAAUAUUUUCUCCAAGUCUGUGGCCUGAACUCUUUUACUGACAAAACAGCAUAUACUAAUGACUAAAUAUAAGCAUAGAUUUGUAUUUUAGAAAAAAAAUACUAGUAUUUUUCUGGAAAGAGAAAUGAGAAAUUGCUAACUGUGAUUUCUGGGCAGAUGGCCUUGGGUGACUGAGGGAUGGCAGUUGGAGAGAUGUGACGUGUGUGCGUGUGUGCGUGUGUGUGUGUGUGUGUGUGUGUUUAUCUAUACAUCUAUAUCUAUAUAGAUAUAUGCCCCUCAGCAUUUUAAAUUUUCUUGUGUGUGUAUCAAAGAAUGCUUUCAAAACUAAAUUACAUUAAAAUCCUUUAAACUUGUAAAACACUUGACAGAUCAUGUCCAAAUCAUGUGUUAAAACUCAUAAUCUGAUCCUCUAUUCUAGAACCAAUGAUUUAUUUUUGAGUUUUUUUUUUUU